UCGAGCGGUAGAGAGAAGCUUGCUUCUCUUGAGAGCGGCGGACGGGUGAGUAAUGCCUAGGAAUCUGCCUGGUAGUGGGGGAUAACGUUCGGAAACGGACGCUAAUACCGCAUACGUCCUACGGGAGAAAGCAGGGGACCUUCGGGCCUUGCGCUAUCAGAUGAGCCUAGGUCGGAUUAGCUAGUUGGUGGGGUAAUGGCUCACCAAGGCGACGAUCCGUAACUGGUCUGAGAGGAUGAUCAGUCACACUGGAACUGAGACACGGUCCAGACUCCUACGGGAGGCAGCAGUGGGGAAUAUUGGACAAUGGGCGAAAGCCUGAUCCAGCCAUGCCGCGUGUGUGAAGAAGGUCUUCGGAUUGUAAAGCACUUUAAGUUGGGAGGAAGGGUUGUAGAUUAAUACUCUGCAAUUUUGACGUUACCGACAGAAUAAGCACCGGCUAACUCUGUGCCAGCAGCCGCGGUAAUACAGAGGGUGCAAGCGUUAAUCGGAAUUACUGGGCGUAAAGCGCGCGUAGGUGGUUUGUUAAGUUGGAUGUGAAAUCCCCGGGCUCAACCUGGGAACUGCAUUCAAAACUGACUGACUAGAGUAUGGUAGAGGGUGGUGGAAUUUCCUGUGUAGCGGUGAAAUGCGUAGAUAUAGGAAGGAACACCAGUGGCGAAGGCGACCACCUGGACUAAUACUGACACUGAGGUGCGAAAGCGUGGGGAGCAAACAGGAUUAGAUACCCUGGUAGUCCACGCCGUAAACGAUGUCAACUAGCCGUUGGAAGCCUUGAGCUUUUAGUGGCGCAGCUAACGCAUUAAGUUGACCGCCUGGGGAGUACGGCCGCAAGGUUAAAACUCAAAUGAAUUGACGGGGGCCCGCACA
Molecule: ribosomal RNA, 870 nt
Filed under: Pseudomonas sp. F
Lineage: Bacteria; Pseudomonadati; Pseudomonadota; Gammaproteobacteria; Pseudomonadales; Pseudomonadaceae
Description: bacterial SSU rRNA
Rfam family: Bacterial small subunit ribosomal RNA
Source: RNAcentral